GCCGAAGUGGUGGAAUUGGCAGACGCGCUGCGUUCAGGGCGCAGUGGGCAAUAGCCCGUGUGGGUUCGACUCCCACCUUCGGCACCA
RNAcentral lists this transfer RNA (87 nucleotides) under Bacillota bacterium. RNAcentral's name for it is "Firmicutes bacterium (anaerobic digester metagenome) tRNA-Leu". It matches the Rfam family "tRNA". Rfam says of the family: Transfer RNA (tRNA) molecules are approximately 80 nucleotides in length. Their secondary structure includes four short double-helical elements and three loops (D, anti-codon, and T loops). Lineage: Bacteria; Bacillati; Bacillota. The record is from RNAcentral.